GACGUAGGGCGCGAGCGUUGUCCGGAUUUAUUGGGCGUAAAGAGCUCGUAGGCGGCUUGUCGCGUCGGAUGUGAAAGCCCGGGGCUUAACCCCGGGUCUGCAUUCGAUACGGGCAGGCUAGAGUUCGGUAGGGGAGAUCGGAAUUCCUGGUGUAGCGGUGAAAUGCGCAGAUAUCAGGAGGAACACCGGUGGCGAAGGCGGAUCUCUGGGCCGAUACUGACGCUGAGGAGCGAAAGCGUGGGGAGCGAACAGG
RNAcentral lists this ribosomal RNA (253 nucleotides) under uncultured bacterium. Its description in RNAcentral is "partial 16S ribosomal RNA". It matches the Rfam family "Bacterial small subunit ribosomal RNA", at positions 524 to 776 of the family's 1533-position model. The record is from RNAcentral.